Molecule: long non-coding RNA, 649 nt
Filed under: Homo sapiens (human)
Lineage: Eukaryota; Metazoa; Chordata; Mammalia; Primates; Hominidae
Description: non-protein coding lnc-TMEM189-UBE2V1-4:14
Source: RNAcentral
GCAGCCACCACGGGCUCGGGAGUAAAAGUCCCUCGCAAUUUCCGACUGUUGGAAGAACUCGAAGAAGGCCAGAAAGGAGUAGGAGAUGGCACAGUUAGCUGGGGUCUAGAAGAUGACGAAGACAUGACACUUACAAGAUGGACAGGGAUGAUAAUUGGGCCUCCAAGAGUCUGCCGUGCACCUGUAUCCUAGUUCCUUGGGCCAUUCAGCAAAGGUCCCUGGCAAGCCUGUCAGCUCCUGGUCUAUUCCAGGCACUACUAGACCCAGAGGCCUUUGCAAAGAAGACGAAGACAAUGAGGAUGGGGAAAAGUGGCCUCUUUCAGACCUUCCUGAUUUGUGAGAGUUCCCAGUCUUCAUAAUGCCAGCCAACCGUUUUUUGAGGACACAUAGUAAACCCUCAAGAAAUGUCUCUUAACUCUCACAAGACCCCAUUGUUAGGUGCAAUUGCAUUCCAUUUCACAGAUGAGGAGACAGACUCAGAGGAGUCAGAUCUCUUGCCCAAAGUCACAUAGCUGGUAACCCCCAAACCAGAUCUGACUCCAGAGCCUGUGCUCUUAACCACUGUGCUGUGGUGUCUCCCUUUUGUUUACAUUUUGAGUUUUCAUCUGUUACCAUUAUAGAAGAUACUAAUCAAGUAGUAACUUGAUGU